AUGCCCUGGAACAUUUCUGCAUUACACCUAGCGAAAGCAUUUUUGAUUCUACUAGGCCUGGAUGAAGAAGUGGUUCCCGGAGCCGAGGUCGACCGUGACGCUCUGCGAGACGGAGGUGUUGAGCGAGGGGUGGCUGACGGUGACCUUGUAGUCGCCGUGCGCGACCUCGGCCUGGAAGUAGCCCUGCUCGUCGGUGGUGCCGGUCUGCGCCGCCGUCCUCCACUCGGCGAGCAGCCGGUCCACCACGUCCCCCUGCGGCAGGUUCCUGAAGUUGUUGUCGGUGAGGCACAUGACGUAGCACCCCUGCGGCCGCCACGCGGACCAGAGGAUGACCCCCUGCACCGCCGGGUGCGCGUACGCCUCCCGCAGCACCUCCUCCAGGUGCUGCGCCUGCGACGGCCCGCCGGCCACGUCCACCUCCGUGAGCCACACGGGGAGCCCGAUCUGGGCCAGCGAGUCGAGCGCGGCGCGCAUGUAGGGGAUGUUGGGGGUGGUGAAGUGCCCCUCCAGCCCGAUGGCCAUGCCGGCGCCGUUCUCCGGGUAGGACGCGAUGAUCUGCCGCAGCCGGUCCACGUACCUCCCCGGCGCCGCCGCCAUGUCCCCGGGCUGCUCCAGCGUGUUGUAGUCGUUCAUGAACAUGAGCGCCGACCCGGCGUCCAGCAGCCGCGCCGCCGCGUAGAAGGCCGUGGACGCGUCCCACCCGAACUGGCGCUCGAAGAAGGAGUAGUGCAGGUUCUCGUUCACCACGUCCCACGCGAUCACCUGCCCGGCGUACCGCGACACGAAGGACCGGAUCCGCCGCGACGCCGCCGCCAGCAGCUCCGGGUAGGGGAGCGACUGCACCCACCGCGGCUGCUGCUUGGGGUCGUCCCAGAACACGUUGUGCCCGCGCACCCCGAUGCCGUGCUGCUUCGCCAGCGCCAGCAUCGCGUCCGGCACCGUGUAGUCCUCCCGCCCCGGCGCCGGCUCCGUGCUGUACCACUUCAUCUCGUUCUCGAACGUGGUCACCGUGAACCGGGACGUGAACCACUGCUGGUACCCCGGGUUGGUCAGGAUCUCGCGGCUCAUGGCCGCGCCCAGAGGGAAGCUGCUGCGCACGUUCUCCACCGACACCUCCGCGCCCUGCAGCGGGUUCCCGCCGGAGUCCUUGGCCUGGAGCCUCACCAUCUUCCUCCGCACGGCGCGGGUCGACUCCGUCCGGUGCGCCGCCCACUCCUCCUUGCUGAACGGCUUCAGCGAGACACUGUCCACCCAUAUGUCCACCGUCGCAUUGCUCUGCAUGCAUGCACCAACACGUUAAUCAACUCAAUGAUUUGCUCCUUUGCACGAACCAAGAAUGAAGAUGGAGCGUAA
RNAcentral lists this ribosomal RNA (1353 nucleotides) under Triticum aestivum (bread wheat). RNAcentral describes it as "partial small subunit ribosomal RNA". Lineage: Eukaryota; Viridiplantae; Streptophyta; Magnoliopsida; Poales; Poaceae. The record is from RNAcentral.